Molecule: ribosomal RNA, 255 nt
Filed under: uncultured bacterium
Lineage: Bacteria
Description: partial 16S ribosomal RNA
Rfam family: Bacterial small subunit ribosomal RNA
Source: RNAcentral
UACAGAGGCCCCAAGCAUUAUCCGGAAUCACUGGGCGUAAAGGGUGUGUAGGCGGUCAUAUUAGUCUUUUGUUAAAGUUCCAGGGCUUAACCCAGGAAAUGCAGGGGAAACGGUAUGACUUAGAGGACGCGAGAGGUAUAUGGAACUCAUGGUGUAGGGGUGAAAUCCGUUGAUAUCAUGGGGAACACCAAAUGCGAAGGCAAUAUACUGGCGCGCUCCUGACGCUGAAACACGAAAGCGUGGGAAUCGAACGGG